RNAcentral lists this ribosomal RNA (253 nucleotides) under uncultured bacterium. RNAcentral describes it as "partial 16S ribosomal RNA". It matches the Rfam family "Bacterial small subunit ribosomal RNA", at positions 524 to 776 of the family's 1533-position model. The record is from RNAcentral.
UACGAAGGGUGCAAGCGUUAUCCGGAAUUACUGGGCGUAAAGCGUGCGCAGGCGGUUUUGUAAGCCAGAUGUGAAAUCCCCGGGCUUAACCUGGGAAUGGCAUUUGGGACUGCAAGGCUCGAGUGCGGCAGAGGAGACUGGAAUUCCUGGUGUAGCAGUGAAAUGCGUAGAUAUCAGGAGGAACACCGAUGGCGAAGGCAGGUCUCUGGGCUGACACUGACGCUCAUGCACGAAAGCGUGGGGAGCAAACAGG